This is a non-coding RNA of Biomphalaria pfeifferi, 606 nucleotides long. The record is from the annotation of a GenBank genome assembly. NCBI's taxonomy places the organism in Eukaryota, Metazoa, Mollusca, Gastropoda, Planorbidae.
AAAUAGUUUUCUGUUUUAAUAACUUUUAUGAAAUCAAAAAAAAAUAUUAAAAAAAUACAAAUAUGUAUGAACAUGAUAAAGGGAAAGAACUAUGAUAUUCAAGAGAGAUAACUAACAAUAAGCAAAAUUAGCUAAUUGAAUCUUUAAAAAACAACUACUUACUGUAUAUUAUUAAAAAGGGUAGCAAAGGUUAGAAAAGAUAUCUUCACUAAUAUUUGACUAAUUGGAAAAAAUCAAAAUAAAUCCCACCCUUAAUGGAACUCAAAUCAUUUUAGUUGAUCUACAAGCCAUUAUAAUACCCAGCUGUGUGAUUCCAAAUUAAAUCUUAUGAUAUUAAAUAAAUAUGAGACUGGUGUUUUUGUGCAAAAUAAGAAAUGACAUAACUGGCCAAAUAUGAGAAUAUACCAAAAGUCAAUAGAAGACAACAAAAUAGUAUAAAUAAUAUUAAUGCAAACAAUAAAAUCUUUUUACUAAAAUAUAAAAAUAAAACUAAUAUUGGAAGAUUGUUUAAAGAAUUACCCUGUAUAAACAUGGUAGAAAUUCUCAAGCAAAUAUUGAGGAGUGACGAAAACUCUGCUUAAAGGGGAGGGGGGGGGGGGGGGGAAA